GUGCCAGCCGCCGCGGUAAUACGGAGGGUGCAAGCGUUAAUCGGAAUUACUGGGCGUAAAGCGCACGCAGGCGGUCUGACAAGUCGGAUGUGAAAUCCCCGGGCUCAACCCGGGAACUGCAUUCGAAACUGUCAGGCUGGAGUCUUGUAGAGGGGGUAGAAUUCCAGGGUGUAGCGGUGAAAUGCGUAGAGAUCUGGAGGAAUACCGGUGGCGAAGGCGGCCCCCCUGGACAAAGACUGACGCUCAGGUGCGAAAGCGUGGGGAGCAAACAGGAUUAGAUACCCUGGUAGUCCACGCUGUAAACGAUGUCGACUUGGAGGUUGUGCCCUUGAGGCGUGGCUUCCGGAGCUAACGCGUUAAGUCGACCGCCUGGGGAGUACGGCCGCAAGGUUAAAACUCAAAUGAAUUGACGGGGGCCCGCGACCAAGCGGUGGGCAUGUGGUUUAAUUCGAUGCAACGCGAAGAACCUUACCUGGUCUUGACAUCCACAGAAGUUUCAGUAGAUGAGAACGUGCCUUCGGGAACUGUGAGACAGGUGC
RNAcentral lists this ribosomal RNA (539 nucleotides) under uncultured Trabulsiella sp. Its description in RNAcentral is "bacterial SSU rRNA". It matches the Rfam family "Bacterial small subunit ribosomal RNA", at positions 505 to 1041 of the family's 1533-position model. Lineage: Bacteria; Pseudomonadati; Pseudomonadota; Gammaproteobacteria; Enterobacterales; Enterobacteriaceae. The record is from RNAcentral.